This is a ribosomal RNA of Fukomys damarensis (Damara mole-rat), 125 nucleotides long. Lineage: Eukaryota; Metazoa; Chordata; Mammalia; Rodentia; Bathyergidae. The record is from Ensembl.
GUCUAUGGCCAUACCACCCUUAACACGCCUGAUUUAGUCUGAUCUCAGAAGUUAAGCAGGGCCAUGCCUGGUCAGUACUUGGAUAGGAGACAGAUUUGCCCCUAUGUGAAGACAAAUCACAGAAU